GGGUUGUGAGGUUAAGCGACUAAGCGUACACGGUGGAUGCCCUGGCAGUCAGAGGCGAUGAAGGACGUGCUAAUCUGCGAAAAGCGUCGGUAAGGUGAUAUGAACCGUUACAGCCGGCGAUGUCCGAAUGGGGAAACCCAGUGUGAUUCGUCACACUAUCGUUAACUGAAUACAUAGGUUAACGAGGCGAACCGGGGGAACUGAAACAUCUAAGUACCCCGAGGAAAAGAAAUCAACCGAGAUUCCCCCAGUAGCGGCGAGCGAACGGGGAGCAGCCCAGAGUCUGAAUCAGCUUGUGUGUUAGUGGAACGGUCUGGAAAGUCCGACGGUACAGGGUGAUAGUCCCGUACACCAAAAUGCACAGGCUGUGAACUCGAAGAGUAGGGCGGGACACGUGGUAUCCUGUCUGAAUAUGGGGGGACCAUCCUCCAAGGCUAAAUACUCCUGACUGACCGAUAGUGAACCAGUACCGUGAGGGAAAGGCGAAAAGAAC
RNAcentral lists this ribosomal RNA (493 nucleotides) under Klebsiella aerogenes. RNAcentral describes it as "partial 23S ribosomal RNA". It matches the Rfam family "Bacterial large subunit ribosomal RNA", at positions 1 to 524 of the family's 2925-position model. RNAcentral also lists the same sequence under 1 other name. The record is from RNAcentral. Lineage: Bacteria; Pseudomonadati; Pseudomonadota; Gammaproteobacteria; Enterobacterales; Enterobacteriaceae.